Syzygium oleosum is the source of this 1453-nucleotide RNA transcript. RefSeq lists it as uncharacterized. The record is from RefSeq and is a predicted model, not a curated record. NCBI's taxonomy places the organism in Eukaryota, Viridiplantae, Streptophyta, Magnoliopsida, Myrtales, Myrtaceae. The transcript is spliced from 3 exons.
ACACAACAAAAAAAAAACGUUGCGUCGAGCGGUGGCUGGCCGGUGUCUCCAUAACACAAAACCAACACCCACCACCAUUCUCCGCCGCAUCCGCCUCCCUUCGAUCGGCCAAAAACCGCCCCGAAGUCUCUCUCCUCUCCGCCUCGCGAAACCACCCCCGGGACCUUCGACGCCGCCCCAGUUCCAUGGCGAACACCGAGAACCGCGAGGAAUUCGCAUUCCCCGCGAAGCGCAAGCCCGAUCUCGCCCGCCGCGAACCCGAAGGAGGAGAAGGAGGUGGAGGAGUAGGAGAAGGAGAUCGCUCCGGGAAAAGCCUCAAGCUCGAACCUCCGGAGAACCUCAACCACGGCGGCUGCGGCGGCUGCGGCGGCGGCGACGAUCGCUCGGAGUCCGGCGACGGGAACGCGCGCGGGGAGGGGAAUCACUCGGAGAAGGCCCCGGUUCUGGAGGAAAAGCGAGCGGAAGCGGAAGCGGAUGCGGAUGCGGAUGUGGAGGUUGAGGAGGAGGAGGAAGAAGAGGACGACGAUUACGAGGACAACGACGACGACGAGGAUGAUGAUGAUGAAGAGGAAGAGGAAGAGGGUGGAGACGAUGAAGGCGACGCGGUGGAUGUGAAGGGUAAGGGGAUUGUGAAGGACGAUAAGGGGAAGGGCAAAUUGAUCGUCGAAGAAGAAGAGGAGGAUAGUGGCGAUAGCAGCAGCGAUGAUUACGGCAAUGCCGGCGUCCCUUCGGAGAGCGACAGCGAUCUGUCCGACGAUCCGCUCGCGGAGGUCGACUUGGACAACAUCCUCCCGUCCAGGACUCGGCGGCGGACGGCUCGGCCCGGGGUUUUUAUCGCCGGGGAUCGUAAGGACGGAGGAGACGAUCGAUCGUAGAGGUUCGAAGUGCGGCUGAUGGUCAAAGCCAUUAAUGGCUGAGAAUACGGAUUCCAGUCGAAUCCUUGAUCAUUUCGUGGACUGUUCAUGCACAAGACGAAAUCGACUGUGAGGAAAAGUUUGCAGAGGUAUUCCUAUCUAUCGUCUGACAUAAAUGGUGUUUUCCGGCUCCGGUACACAUGGUGCGAACAUCCAUUCUCUUGGGAAAGGAAAAAACGGCGCUCAUAUGGUAUAUGAUUUAAGACAACCCUUGUCAUGUCUUAGCCUGGAAUCUCCGAUCGAUCUCAAACAUUUACAUAUCUCCGUCAUCCCAAUAUUCGUUCUUCUUACUAGGCGGCUUGAUGGCCUGAGGCGAGGAGCUUGCUCUGACUUGCUACAGAAGGUAAUGUAAGAACACAGACAAGUCGAUAUGGUGCUCCUUCUGGGAGCCUGGGCUCACUGUAGACCAGAACCUUGGACUUGAGGAAGGCCUCGACCCUUUUCAUGUCUGGGCUCGAAGAUUUGCUUGGUCUGUAUCAUAUUCGAAGAGGUCGUAUACGUAAGAGGAUGCAGAUAGAUCAUCACGGAACAGUGAACAA